RNAcentral lists this ribosomal RNA (421 nucleotides) under uncultured Methanocorpusculum sp. RNAcentral's name for it is "partial 16S ribosomal RNA". Lineage: Archaea; Methanobacteriati; Methanobacteriota; Methanomicrobia; Methanomicrobiales; Methanocorpusculaceae. The record is from RNAcentral.
GGACUACGGGGGUAUCUAAUCCCGUUUGCUCCCCCAGCUUUCGUCCCUCACUGUCGAAGCUGUUCUGGUAAACUGCCUUCGCCAUAGGUCGUCCCUCGAGGAUUACAAGAUUUCACUCCUACCCCCGAAGUACGGUUUACCUCUCCCAGUUCCAAGACUGCCGGUAUCUCUUAGACGCCUUCACGUUGAGCGUGAAGAUUUCCCAAGAGACCUAACAGUCAAGCUACGGACGCUUUAAACCCAGUAAUAGUGGCCAUCACUCGAGCAGCCGGUAUUACCGCGGCGGCUGGCACCGGUCUUGCCCUGCCCUUUCUUCACAUAUGAUUUAGAUAUAUGAACAGCCUGCAUCGACAGGCACUCAGGGUUUCCUUAUCACGAUUGCUCGCAUUGUAAAGUUUGCGCGCCUGCUGCCCCCCAUAGG